Molecule: non-coding RNA, 749 nt
Organism: Theobroma cacao (cacao)
Lineage: Eukaryota; Viridiplantae; Streptophyta; Magnoliopsida; Malvales; Malvaceae
Source: RefSeq, a predicted model, not a curated record
UCUAGGUACAAAGUACCAUUGCACAAUGAUCCAGAGGACAGCUCAUUCGUUUCUCCCCGAUGACUGUAUCAAUGUAAUAAUCGGUCUCCGUCUUUUAUGUUUCGACCGAUUCUCAGGGUUAGUUCGUAAGCCUGGUGAAGCGUCUGUGCUCUUAGUUAUGUCAACCUUGCUUUCACCCUUGGGAUGGGGCAUCUCGAGUGCUAUCUUAGAUGGAAACUCCCGCUGAAGAAGUACGGAAUCAUACCAAAAUACAGCUUUCUCCAUGGCGUCUCUUCAUGUCAAAUAGCAUUGUUGCCUGACAUUUCCUUCAGCAAGUUGGAAGAAAGGAAGCAUAGUUAUAAAGAAUUCACCAAGCUUUAGCUUUUGCAGAGAAGGUUUGAUCAUUGAUGGAGAAACUAAGCCCCACGAAAACAGAUGACCAAUUUUGCAAAGACAUGGGAAGUAAGGCAAGGGAGUUUUGGCAGAGUGUUUUUUAGAACCGCAUGGAAAAUCAGAUUACAGAUGAGUUAACUUGAAGCCAACCCAUUGGAGAAGGCGUCAUUGGCCAAUUCUAGUCGAUCUUUGGUGGCCUAAUUCAUGAAUGGAAAUGGAGGGAGGGGUGGUAUCUGCUAGUUAAUUGGAAACAACGAUCGCAUAUCUUAACCGUCGUAGCCAUGCCUUGUAUUCAAGUUAAUUUAGAUUAGUUUUCCCUAAUUUUACAUUGAAUUAUUUUUUGACUAAUAAGUCCAACUACCUUUACCUUGAGUCAA